GGGUGCGGUGGCGCGUGCCUGUAAUCCAAGCUAUUGGGAGGUUGAGGCUGGAGGAUCGUUUGAGCUCAGGAGUUCUGGGCUGCUGUGGACUAUGCUGAUCAGGUGUCCGCACUAAGUUCGGUAUCGAUAUGGUGCUCCUGGGGGAGCCUGGGACCACCAGGUUGACCAAGGAGGGGUAAGUAUAUAUUGGUUAAAUUAAAUAUGGAAGCGAGUUACCACCCACUAGCCACCAAAGCUGCAACUACUAAGCAACUAACCAACCAU
This 264-nucleotide small RNA is filed under the name Nothobranchius furzeri (turquoise killifish). RNAcentral describes it as "Metazoan signal recognition particle RNA (ENSNFUG00015011035.1)". It matches the Rfam family "Metazoan signal recognition particle RNA", at positions 1 to 222 of the family's 299-position model. From Rfam's summary of the family: The signal recognition particle (SRP) is a universally conserved ribonucleoprotein. Lineage: Eukaryota; Metazoa; Chordata; Actinopteri; Cyprinodontiformes; Nothobranchiidae. The record is from Rfam by way of RNAcentral.